RNAcentral lists this ribosomal RNA (484 nucleotides) under uncultured bacterium. Its description in RNAcentral is "partial 16S ribosomal RNA". It matches the Rfam family "Bacterial small subunit ribosomal RNA", at positions 30 to 507 of the family's 1533-position model. The record is from RNAcentral.
AUUGAACGCUGGCGGCAGGCCUAACACAUGCAAGUCGAGCGGAUGAAGGGAGCUUGCUCCUGGAUUCAGCGGCGGACGGGUGAGUAAUGCCUAGGAAUCUGCCUGGUAGUGGGGGAUAACGUCCGGAAACGGGCGCUAAUACCGCAUACGUCCUGAGGGAGAAAGUGGGGGAUCUUCGGACCUCACGCUAUCAGAUGAGCCUAGGUCGGAUUAGCUAGUUGGUGGGGUAAAGGCCUACCAAGGCGACGAUCCGUAACUGGUCUGAGAGGAUGAUCAGUCACACUGGAACUGAGACACGGUCCAGACUCCUACGGGAGGGAGCAGUGGGGGAUAUUGGACAAUGGGCGAAAGCCUGAUCCAGCCAUGCCGCGUGUGUGAAGAAGGUCUUCGGAUUGUAAAGCACUUUAAGUUGGGAGGAAGGGCAGUAAGUUAAUACCUUGCUGUUUUGACGUUACCAACGGAAUAAGCACCGGCUAACUUCGUG